CCCCCAAUAAUGGGGGACU
Molecule: ribosomal RNA, 19 nt
Filed under: Ochlerotatus sticticus
Lineage: Eukaryota; Metazoa; Arthropoda; Insecta; Diptera; Culicidae
Description: partial 28S ribosomal RNA
Source: RNAcentral